Molecule: long non-coding RNA, 656 nt
Organism: Cygnus olor (mute swan)
Lineage: Eukaryota; Metazoa; Chordata; Aves; Anseriformes; Anatidae
Exons: 6
Source: RefSeq, a predicted model, not a curated record
AAAAGGUGUGUGUGUAAAUUUGUGAAGAAAACUAAAGUCAGAAACAAUAGGAAUAAAUGAGAAGGACCUAGAGGAGAGGAUAAAGAGGACUGAGAGAAACAGUGGAGAUGCUGGAAGUUCCAUCUGGUUAGACAACGUUCCUGUAAAGCUCACAAGAACUGAAAAAUACCUCAUUUAUAGGAGGAGAGGGGGAGUUGCAUCUAGCAAAUGCACAGCCACCAACCAUGGGAUGUGGUAAGCUGCAGCCCGUGAGCAGCAUUUCACCCCCCCUCUGAAGGGAGUCAUUAGUGAGCAAAAACAUCAACCCUGGUUCCGAAGCUGUUUAAAAAAAUUCACCCCAGGUGUGAGGAAACAAUUAAAUGACAAUUUCCUGGGUAGCUUUUCACCUUUCCUAUUUGAUCAGCUGUACAGCACACUGUUUUCUGCUAAAUGCCUUGGACUCACGAAAACCUGGAGACCUCAUAAGAUGUCACAUAUACCAGCAAGAGUAACAGUAUUAUUUCAAAUUUUGGGCUCUUCCCCUGGACAGAUUCAAGCUGGCACUCCAACAGGAAGAAAGCUCUCCAAGAAGCUUAUUGAUUUGAACCACUAUUUCUAUGGAAGUGGUCUAGAAAUAUUACUUUACAUGCACUGUAUCUAUAUUUCCUCUGCAAGCU